RNAcentral lists this long non-coding RNA (520 nucleotides) under Homo sapiens (human). RNAcentral's name for it is "HSALNT0265599". The record is from RNAcentral. Lineage: Eukaryota; Metazoa; Chordata; Mammalia; Primates; Hominidae.
GCACAGGCCAAAACCGCCUAAUGAAUAUUAGCAACCAGAUAUUUCCUGGCACACAGUCCACACCAAGUAAAUGUUUGAGCGGCUGUUGAGCUGAAUCAUUGUUUAAUUUUUGUCUUUCCACCACAGGAAGAUCACAGAUUGACAUCAGCAGGAAAACUUGCCAGGCAGCAGGAGGAUCCAUUUGAAAACUCACGAGAAAAAGGCCCUUGAGGCCUUUUUCCUGGUUAUUGAAGACAUCUUAGGAAACACUUAUGGUGACAAUUAAUCAAGCAAAAAUAGAUCCAGUUUUUCUGAAGAUCAAGCUUAACAUGUGUGCCAUGCUUUAAAAUGUCUUUCCAGGCACUCUCUCCUGCCCACGGAUCUUGCUUGGGAAAGGAAUGGGGCAAGUGGAAAUGGCCAUUUCUUAGAUGAACACAUCAGGGACUUGCUCCAGUCUGAAGUCUAUACAGAGCUAGGCUUUGAAUCCAGUCACGUAACGGCAUAGCAGCAAAUCAGCCUUUCAGAAUAUUGCAGGAUCAGC